ACACCCCUCACUUUUAAUUUUUAAUUAUCUCACACACACUAAACACACACACAACUCACGCAUAUCUCCAUUGUUGAGGAGUUGGAGCUUUUGAGCUCCGUUUUGAGCGAGAAGACGAGCCCCGAUCAUCUUUUCGAACACGUAUCUAAGUAGGUCCUUUUGGGAAGUAACGACUUGAGGGAGAGAGUGACGUUACUCAUUGAUACAGAGACACAACGAGGUUGAGCUGAUGUGAUGAUGGUGCUGCAAUGAGCGGAGUCUCAAGGGUUGUUAAUAAAUAGUUAACCUGUCUAGAAUAUGUCUUCAUACAUAUGUCUAGCUACUUUCCGCUGCAAGAUGUUGUUGAUGUUAUAGUAUGUUAUGUCAUACUUUGAGUCUUAAGAGAAUGGUUUCAUAUGAUGUAUAACUUGAUUAAUGAUAUUAAUUAACUUUUAUGCUGUCUUUCAUAGACUGUUUUCAAUUGAGUAU
This is a long non-coding RNA of Salvia miltiorrhiza (redroot sage), 468 nucleotides long. RefSeq lists it as uncharacterized. The transcript has 3 exons. The record is from RefSeq and is a predicted model, not a curated record. NCBI's taxonomy places the organism in Eukaryota, Viridiplantae, Streptophyta, Magnoliopsida, Lamiales, Lamiaceae.